AGUGAACGCUGGCGGUAGGCCUAACACAUGCAAGUCGAACGGCAGCACAGUAAGAGCUUGCUCUUACGGGUGGCGAGUGGCGGACGGGUGAGGAAUACAUCGGAAUCUACUUUUUCGUGGGGGAUAACGUAGGGAAACUUACGCUAAUACCGCAUACGACCUACGGGUGAAAGCAGGGGAUCUUCGGACCUUGCGCGAUUGAAUGAGCCGAUGUCGGAUUAGCUAGUUGGCGGGGUAAAGGCCCACCAAGGCGACGAUCCGUAGCUGGUCUGAGAGGAUGGUCAGCCAAACUGGAACUGAGACACGGUCCAGGCUCCUACGGGAAGCAGCAGUGGGGAAUAUUGGACAAUGGGCGCAAGCCUGAUCCAGCCAUACCGCGUGGGUGAAGAAGGCCUUCGGGUUGUAAAGCCCUUUUGUUGGGAAAGAAAAGCAGCAGGUUAAUACCCCGCUGUUCUGACGGUACCCAAAGAAUAAGCACCGGCUAACUUCGUG
This 492-nucleotide ribosomal RNA is filed under the name uncultured bacterium. RNAcentral describes it as "partial 16S ribosomal RNA". It matches the Rfam family "Bacterial small subunit ribosomal RNA", at positions 29 to 507 of the family's 1533-position model. The record is from RNAcentral.